RNAcentral lists this transfer-messenger RNA (354 nucleotides) under Acidobacteriota bacterium. It matches the Rfam family "transfer-messenger RNA". Rfam says of the family: Bacterial tmRNA, also known as 10Sa RNA or SsrA, is named for its dual tRNA and mRNA-like properties. Its role is to liberate the mRNA from a stalled ribosome. Lineage: Bacteria; Pseudomonadati; Acidobacteriota. The record is from RNAcentral.
GGGGGCGCAACGGAUUCGACGGGAUUGAAUCGUUGUGGUAAGGCGUGCCGGGUUCCGAGCUCCCGUAAAACGAUCGGAAAAACAUAACUGCCAAUCAGCAGUUUGCAUACGCUGCUUAAUUAAUUAAGUAGCCGUUCCGGGUGGAGGGCCUGCACUUCAUCUAGCGAACGUCAUCCUCGUAGGCUGGGCCUGAAGCUUCUGCUCGGAGCUGUAAGGCUGAGAUCAAUCGGGCUAAGCGGCCGCGCUCUUCGCCGGUUCUUAUGUGGCCGCCGACAACUACCGAACUGGCUACGCACGUAGUCUUUUCAUGACGGGCUUUUUCGGACGCGGGUUCAACUCCCGCCGCCUCCACCA